GAUUUUCAAUAACAUUUUCCACAGAAAGUACUGUUAUAGAUAGAGAUAAUUGUAAGCAGCAAGAAUUUUUAGUAAAGUAAGAUCUACAAACACAUCACCAUCACCAAAACACAAUUUUGUCAUGAAUUCAUCUGUGUCCAUUGUUUAAUAUUCACAUAGACCAAGGUGAGCGACACAGGCUCUUUAGAGCCUCUAGUUUUU
RNAcentral lists this long non-coding RNA (201 nucleotides) under Mytilus galloprovincialis (Mediterranean mussel). The record is from RNAcentral. Lineage: Eukaryota; Metazoa; Mollusca; Bivalvia; Mytilida; Mytilidae.